Alnus glutinosa is the source of this 455-nucleotide long non-coding RNA. RefSeq lists it as uncharacterized. The record is from RefSeq and is a predicted model, not a curated record. NCBI's taxonomy places the organism in Eukaryota, Viridiplantae, Streptophyta, Magnoliopsida, Fagales, Betulaceae. The transcript is spliced from 3 exons.
AUUCCAUCUUCCACAACCUUCAGUAAUUCGAUCACUUCUAGUAUGGACUUACGGCUUGCUUUGAGCUUCAUGCAUGUCUACGCCACCGGCCAGCUUGGGAGAGGGGCAUUGUCCUAAUUGAAAGUUUGGGGAGACAUUAUCAAUUGAAUUGUAGUUUGAGAGGAGCGCUGUGUGCCCAAAUUUCAACACUCCUGUGAUCUGGCACCAUUGUAGAUCGGAAUGUCACCGAAAGCAAGAUCCUUUGUAUUCUCAAGGCUCACGAUACAUUUUUAAUUGUUAUUAUUUUGGGCUUGUGCUUUGUUUGGAGUUCUAUAAAAUGUUGAUUUACUUUUGAGUUUUUUGUUUUUUCUGUUUAUUUAUGCUUUGAUUGCAUUUCGAGAAAAUGCGGGUUUGUUGUUUCUCAUAGAAUGAUUUGUACAUUUUGAUGUAUAAAAUUUUCAAAAUGCUUGUAGUAU